UAUUUAGUUUGAUCAUGGCUCAGGACGAACGCUGGCNGCGAUGCCUAAUACAUGCAAGUCGAGCGAACAAGAAGGAGCUUGCUCCUUCGAUGUUAGCGGCGGACGGGUGAGUAACACGUGGGCAACCUACCUUAUAGUUUGGGAUAACUCCGGGAAACCGGGGCUAAUACCGAAUAAUCUAUUUUACUUCAUGGUGAAAUACUGAAAGACGGUUUCGGCUGUCGCUAUAAGAUGGGCCCGCGGCGCAUUAGCUAGUUGGUGAGGUAACGGCUCACCAAGGCGACGAUGCGUAGCCGACUGAGAGGGUGAUCGGCCACACUAGGGACUGAGACACGGCCCAGACUCCUUACGGGACGGCAGCAGUCAGGGACAUCUUUCCACACAUGGGCGAAAUGCC
Molecule: ribosomal RNA, 397 nt
Filed under: uncultured bacterium
Lineage: Bacteria
Description: bacterial SSU rRNA
Rfam family: Bacterial small subunit ribosomal RNA
Source: RNAcentral